This 252-nucleotide ribosomal RNA is filed under the name uncultured bacterium. Its description in RNAcentral is "partial 16S ribosomal RNA". It matches the Rfam family "Bacterial small subunit ribosomal RNA", at positions 524 to 776 of the family's 1533-position model. The record is from RNAcentral.
UACAGAGGGGCAAGCGUUGUUCGGAAUUACUGGGCGUAAAGGCGCGUAGGCGGCCUUCUAAGUCGAACGUGAAAUCCCUGGGCUCAACCCAGGAACUGCGUCCGAUACUGGGAGGCUUGAAUCCGGAGAGGGAUGCGGAAUUCCAGGUGUAGCGGUGAAAUGACGUAGAUAUCUGGAGGAACACCGGUGGCGAAGGACGGCAUCCUGGACCGGUAUUGACGCUGAGGCGCGAAAGCCAGGGGAGCAAACGGG